RNAcentral lists this ribosomal RNA (265 nucleotides) under uncultured bacterium. Its description in RNAcentral is "partial 16S ribosomal RNA". It matches the Rfam family "Bacterial small subunit ribosomal RNA", at positions 524 to 776 of the family's 1533-position model. The record is from RNAcentral.
UACGUAGGGUGCAAGCGUUAAUCGGAAUUACUGGGCGUAAAGCGUGCGGCAGGCGGUGAUGUAAGACAGAAUGUCGAAAUCCCCGGGCUCAACCCGGGAACCUGCAUUUGGAUGACUGCGAUCGCUGGAGUACGGCAGACGGGGGAUGGAAUUCCGCGUGAGCAGUGAAAUGCGUAGAUGAUGCGGAGGACACCGAUGGCGAAGGCAAGUCCCCUGGGCCUGUCACUGACGCUCAUGCACGGAAAGCGUAGGGGGAGCAAACAGG